This is a long non-coding RNA of Amphiprion ocellaris (clown anemonefish), 2255 nucleotides long. The record is from Ensembl. NCBI's taxonomy places the organism in Eukaryota, Metazoa, Chordata, Actinopteri, Pomacentridae.
CUUGAUUGAUAGUCCGGUCUGGAAUGAUUGACAGGUCCUAUGGAGGAGGCAGCAGAGACUCUGCUCUCCUCGUUUGGAUUAAUUCUGAUAUAAUAACUGUUGGUUUAUUUAUCGGUGGAGCAGCACAACAUUUUCCACAGACAGUUUUCCUGCCCGUUGGCUUGUUUUAACCAGUUUUCUACCUUCGGCUGAUUCUACCAGCAGACACUGAAAGGACUCUAAUAGUUCGAGUGAAAGUAGCAAUUCCUCCUUAAGGUCAGAGAUUGCAGCAUCUGAGGGCCUCUUCAAAAGAAGACAUAGUUGAUGAAGGCGUUCUGGAGCAGGGCCAGAAAGACCACGACCAAGCAGCCUUGAGAUCUUAGGCAGCGUCUCCCUCGGUUUCAGCUCCAGAGACGGCAGGCGGGACGAGUCAACGGAGGCCGGGUGGACGAAGGCAUGCAGCUGAGUACAAUCCAGAAAACAACAGAGGAGGAGUACAGCGGCCCAGGGCCAGAACAAACAGAGUAGCAUGACCAAAGAACUACAGACUCUUCACAACCUGCUCAAACUCUUGGUACAGGACCUCACCACACAGGUUGCUUUGUAGAACUGUUCCAGAAAACCUCACUAAACCACAUGGAGGGGCCUCAAGAUAGUCGUCCAAAUGAAACUGUACAAAAACCAAACUAGCACAACCCAAACGCUAAAGUCUCCUGCAACCUACCAGAGAACCUCUGAGAACAGAGAAUCAGGACAGGAACUCUUACCUUCUGGACAACCAACGUUGGUUCUCAAACAAUACAGAAUGUGUCUGACCAAAAACCUCUAAAGACUCACUACAGCCAAGAUAAAGACACAACUCAGCUGCACCAAAUCCACUAAUCACUGCACACAUUAGCACCAUGUGCUAAGUGUGGCUAAAGAACCACAUUUACCAAGACAACUAUGCAGUACAAAGCCCUAAAACACACCAAGAAACACAUUAAAGAUGAUUUUACUGCUGGAAGCUGCAAGCCAACGCCUAAAGAACAAACUAAAGCAAAAGAGCCAAACCCGGUUCAGUGGUGAAGAGCAGAGGAAAUGUUUGUAGCUAAACAAAGCAGGAAGACACUGAGCUGCUCAGGUGUUCCUGAUAAUACCAAGCAGCCACCUGGACAGCCAAUAGGAACACAGCUUACUGGAAGUCCAGAGGGCUGGGUUAGUGAAGGAAAUUUAGUUUAAAGUUGAGGCAGAAAGUUAACAAAGAAAGUUGAAAACCACCUUCUGAUACCUGAAAUCUCUGAGUUUUCACACAAAGAACGCCUGAACAUGUCAAACUGGUUUCAUAGUAGAACCAUCAUUAUAAAAACAUCAUAGUAUGGUGUGUUGCUCAAAAAACAUUACGACCCAGCUGUCUAGGGUCGCCGAGGAGCAACACAAAAAGAGGGCAAACGCUGGUUUCCAGGGGGUUAGGUGGCUAUUUAUUUGAAAGAGUAAGUUUACAAUAACACAACAUGUGAACAAAAAAAUCAGUCUGUCUUUAGUUCAGCUGAAAAUAUUAGUUUUUGUCUUUUUUAUUGACCAAACUUUUCAGGAAGUAGUUGAAGAAUAAUUAAAGCUCUCAUGUAGAAGUCCAACUUAUUUUGGAUCCUUGUGGAGAGUUUAAUCUUAGAGUUUGUACAGCUGUUGAGUUUUUAGAGUCACAUGGAUUGUUUUGACAUUUAAUAAGGAAUAUUCCACCUAAAACCCCAAAUAUAGACCCGAAAGGGUGGUUUAGAAAAAAAUCCUUCAAUGUAGACCAAAAAAGUUAGUACGGAGGAAUAUUCUUCCUGUCAGGCUCGUGGUAGAACGGCUCUGAAGAAUCUUGUACUUGUCUUAUCUGGAACAAUCUAACAGCCUAAACUGUUAACAGCAGUGUAAAGAAGCAAACACACAGGCAUAGAUUAGGACUCAAACUAGAUUUAUUUUAGAAAACCAAUCAGCUUCGAGGCAUUUGUUCACACGUGGCUGAAUAGGAAGCCAUCCAAUCAGGUUAGAGGUCUUCACUCUGUAGGUUGGUUGUUCCGUGAGACUCUUGGACCUUCAUCAGCUGACGUGGAUGUUUGAUGGUCUUCCUCUCUAGUGCCAGAUGAAUCAUCCAUGAAUUCAGCAGCUACAGACUGAAAUGAAGCUCAUGCUGCUGUUAUUGAAUUCCUGUUCCAGAUCAAAUGUUCAGAGCUCACCUUGAAUGCAUGCCGUCUGCUGUCUGGAUAGUUUUUCUCAUUGUAGUCUUCAAUAAAGUCUUUUUCCUCAUGUCA